RNAcentral lists this non-coding RNA (157 nucleotides) under Phyllobacterium sp. YR531. RNAcentral's name for it is "6S / SsrS RNA". It matches the Rfam family "6S / SsrS RNA". From Rfam's summary of the family: E. coli 6S RNA was the first non coding RNA to be sequenced, but its function was unknown until recently. Lineage: Bacteria; Pseudomonadati; Pseudomonadota; Alphaproteobacteria; Hyphomicrobiales; Phyllobacteriaceae. The record is from Rfam by way of RNAcentral.
GGCGCUCUGCGCCUCACGACAGGAGAGACAUAUUCCCCGGGGCCUUAAUAAUCCCUUAGGGAGCUGUCCCUGGAGAGGCCCGUGGGCUUCUUCACACGGCACCCACCUACUUUGUAGGUUCCCGGGAUCGACUUCUCCAUCGGUUGUGUGGACGCCA